AAUCAUAUUGCAUGUUAUUGGUAUGCUGUUUGCACAGAUCUGUUUCAAAUCAAGUAAACUGUCUGAGUGCCAUGAUGAUGAUCAAUUUCAUCAGCUCUAUUGGAAGAGCAAAUUUGUCAUGAAGACAAACAACUGUUAUGGAUAGGAUUAUAGUAAAAGUGUUGUCAAGUCAAGGUGGCAGCAGUGCUUUAUUUUACGACUUCGUGUCCAACAAAUAUGUGGAACCCGGUUAACUUAAGCUUAA
Molecule: non-coding RNA, 244 nt
Organism: Styela clava
Lineage: Eukaryota; Metazoa; Chordata; Ascidiacea; Stolidobranchia; Styelidae
Source: RefSeq, a predicted model, not a curated record